RNAcentral lists this long non-coding RNA (328 nucleotides) under Phaseolus vulgaris (common bean). RNAcentral describes it as "long non-coding RNA (PVUL_LNC004962)". Lineage: Eukaryota; Viridiplantae; Streptophyta; Magnoliopsida; Fabales; Fabaceae. The record is from RNAcentral.
ACCUGCUCCGCUUGAUUGCCACCACCACCGCACUUGUUCAGAGAAAACGUUUGACCUCCGCACUCCAGAGAAGACACAACACCAUCAAAACGAACGUGAAACAAAACGAAACUCGAACCCUAAAUGCACAAUUUUGGGUUAAAACAAAAACCCAGUUGAACUCGCCAACUCGGAGCAGACUCACGAGUUCGAACGAGUUCACCGAGUUCAUUCCGAGUCUGCCGAGUUUACUCCAAAACCGAGUUUACUACCGAGUUAACUCGGUAAGGGUAUGUGGACACGUAAACUCGGACGAGUCAACGAGUUGACUCGCGAGUUUGAUAACCAU